RNAcentral lists this unclassified non-coding RNA (245 nucleotides) under plant metagenome. RNAcentral describes it as "partial contains small subunit ribosomal RNA, internal transcribed spacer 1, and 5.8S ribosomal RNA". The record is from RNAcentral.
UUUCCGUAGGUGAACCUGCGGAAGGAUCAUUAUGCGCCCCCGGACAUGAUCGGUCAGAACUGCCCCGUUAUGCUUCGGCCAAUCGCCAUCCGUGAGUAGUGGAUAAUUGUUGCUUUGCUGGGCCGCCCCGUGGGCACCGGCUUGCGCUGGCCCGCGCCCGCCAGAGGACACAAAACUCUGUAUGUUAGUGAUGUCUGAGUACUAUAUAAUAGUUAAAACUUUCAACAACGGAUCUCUUGGUUCUG